AGCAGCCGCGGUAAUUCCAGCUCCAAUAGCGUAUAUUAAAGUUGUUGCAGUUAAAAAGCUCGUAGUUGAAUUUCGGGAUCAAUUAGUCGGUCGUGCCUCUGGUACGUACUGGUUUUAUUGGUUCCUCCCUUCUGACGAAACAUGAUGUCAUUAAUUUGGUGUCGUGGAGAAUCAGGACUGUUACCUUGAAAAAAUUAGAGUGUUUAUAGCAGGCUAACGCUUGAAUACAUUAGCAUGGAAUAAUGAAAUAGGACGUUCGACCCUAUUUUGUUGGUUUCUAGGAUCGACGUAAUGAUUAAUAGGGAUAGUUGGGGGCAUUAGUAUUCAAUUGUCAGAGGUGAAAUUCUUGGAUUUAUUGAAGACUAACUACUGCGAAAGCAUUUGCUAAGGAUGUUUUCAUUAAUCAAGAACGAAAGUUAGGGGAUCGAAGACGAUCAGAUACCGUCGUAGUCUUAACCAUAAACUAUGCCGACUAGGGAUCGGAUGAUGUUAAUUUUUAAUGUACUCAUUCGGCGCCUUA
This 520-nucleotide ribosomal RNA is filed under the name uncultured Glomus. RNAcentral's name for it is "SSU rRNA". It matches the Rfam family "Eukaryotic small subunit ribosomal RNA", at positions 569 to 1090 of the family's 1831-position model. The record is from RNAcentral. Lineage: Eukaryota; Fungi; Glomeromycota; Glomeromycetes; Glomerales; Glomeraceae.